Molecule: ribosomal RNA, 449 nt
Filed under: uncultured bacterium
Lineage: Bacteria
Description: bacterial SSU rRNA
Rfam family: Bacterial small subunit ribosomal RNA
Source: RNAcentral
UUCCAGACUCCUACGGGAGGCAGCAGUGGGGAAUAUUGCACAAUGGGGGAAACCCUGAUGCAGCGACGCCGCGUGAGCGAUGAAGUAUUUCGGUAUGUAAAGCUCUAUCAGCAGGGAAGAAAAUGACGGUACCUGACUAAGAAGCCCCGGCUAACUACGUGCCAGCAGCCGCGGUAAUACGUAGGGGGCAAGCGUUAUCCGGAUUUACUGGGUGUAAAGGGGGCGCAGACGGCGAUGCAAGCCAGGAGUGAAAGCCCGGGGCCCAACCCCGGGACUGCUCUUGGAACUGCGUGGCUGGAGUGCAGGAGGGGCAGGCGGAAUUCCUGGUGUAGCGGUGAAAUGCGUAGAUAUCAGGAGGAACACCGGUGGCGAAGGCGGCCUGCUGGACUGCAACUGACGUUGAGGCCCGAAAGCGUGGGGAGCAAACAGGAUUAGAUACCCUCGUAGUG